GGCGAACGGGUGAGUCAACGUGAGUCACCUGCCCUUGACUCUGGGAUAAGCGCUGGAAACGGCGUCUAAUACCGGAUACGAGCUUCAGCCGCACGGCUAGGAGUUGGAAAGAAUUUCGGUCAAGGAUGGACUCGCGGCCUAUCAGCUAGUUGGUGAGGUAAUGGCUCACCAAGGCGACGACGGGUAGCCGGCCUGAGAGGGUGACCGGCCACACUGGGACUGAGACACGGCCCAGACUCCUACGGGAGGCAGCAGUGGGGAAUAUUGCACAAUGGGCGCAAGCCUGAUGCAGCAACGCCGCGUGAGGGAUGACGGCCUUCGGGUUGUAAACCUCUUUUAGUAGGGAAGAAGCGAAAGUGACGGUACCUGCAGAAAAAGCACCGGCUAACUACGUGCCAGCAGCCGCGGUAAUACGUAGGGUGCAAGCGUUGUCCGGAAUUAUUGGGCGUAAAGAGCUCGUAGGCGGUUUGUCGCGUCUGCUGUGAAAUCUGGGGGCUCAACCCCCAGCCUGCAGUGGGUACGGGCAGACUAGAGUGCGGUAGGGGAGAUUGGAAUUCCUGGUGUAGCGGUGGAAUGCGCAGAUAUCAGGAGGAACACCGAUGGCGAAGGCAGAUCUCUGGGCCGUAACUGACGCUGAGGAGCGAAAGCAUGGGGAGCGAACAGGAUUAGAUACCCUGGUAGUCCAUGCCGUAAACGUUGGGAACUAGAUGUGGGGGCCAUUCCACGGUCUCCGUGUCGCAGCUAACGCAUUAAGUUCCCCGCCUGGGGAGUACGGCCGCAAGGCUAAAACUCAAAGGAAUUGACGGGGGCCCGCACAAGCGGCGGAGCAUGCGGAUUAAUUCGAUGCAACGCGAAGAACCUUACCAAGGCUUGACAUAUACCGGAAACGUCCAGAGAUGGUCGCCCCGCAAGGUCGGUAUACAGGUGGUGCAUGGUUGUCGUCAGCUCGUGUCGUGAGAUGUUGGGUUAAGUCCCGCAACGAGCGCAACCCUCGUUCUAUGUUGCCAGCACGUAAUGGUGGGAACUCAUAGGAGACUGCCGGGGUCAACUCGGAGGAAGGUGGGGAUGACGUCAAAUCAUCAUGCCCCUUAUGUCUUGGGCUUCACGCAUGCUACAAUGGCCGGUACAAAGGGCUGCGAUACCGUAAGGUGGAGCGAAUCCCAAAAAGCCGGUCUCAGUUCGGAUUGAGGUCUGCAACUCGACCUCAUGA
Molecule: ribosomal RNA, 1210 nt
Filed under: Frigoribacterium faeni
Lineage: Bacteria; Bacillati; Actinomycetota; Actinomycetes; Micrococcales; Microbacteriaceae
Description: bacterial SSU rRNA
Rfam family: Bacterial small subunit ribosomal RNA
Source: RNAcentral